GCAGAGCGAAGGGCCGGGAACAGCGGAGGGUGUGAGGAAGACAAUGGGGAGGACCCCGAGGCGGCCUCUGCGCCGACAGGAACACGUAGUCGAUCAGAGAGAGACUCGAGGUUCGUGAAAGGAUGGGGAGGACCCUGAAAAGCACAGUGGAAUACAGGUUUCUAGUAACUUCAAAAUCACAUCAUUUGGACUGGCAUGAUGAGCCACCUGAGGCCAGGUACAGCCAUGGCGUGUAUGCCAGAGCACCUGCGAGAAUGUCUCACAGGCAGUCUGUCUCUCCUGAAUGUGAAGGGAUGGGCACCAGCCGGAGCCACCAUCCGUGUGACUGGCCUGUGACCGCCUCCAGCUCACACAAAACCUCUGCACGCAAUGGAAAAAGGCCUCCCCUGGGUGAAUGGGGUGGGAAACGUAUGCCUCUCCAGGUGGCUGGUGAGCAGAGUGCUCCCCUCGGCAGGGUGUGACUUGUACAGCUCCGCUAGGGGCCCUGUGACAAGACAGGCUUCGCCCCUGCCCUCUUGCAGCUCGUAUGUAUGAGGGGCAGCCCAAUAAAUAAAGAAGCAAA
This is a long non-coding RNA of Nomascus leucogenys (northern white-cheeked gibbon), 562 nucleotides long. RefSeq lists it as uncharacterized. The record is from RefSeq and is a predicted model, not a curated record. Lineage: Eukaryota; Metazoa; Chordata; Mammalia; Primates; Hylobatidae. The transcript has 3 exons.